RNAcentral lists this ribosomal RNA (429 nucleotides) under Chloroflexota bacterium. RNAcentral describes it as "Chloroflexi bacterium partial 16S ribosomal RNA". It matches the Rfam family "Bacterial small subunit ribosomal RNA", at positions 355 to 776 of the family's 1533-position model. Lineage: Bacteria; Bacillati; Chloroflexota. The record is from RNAcentral.
UGGGGAAUAUUGCACAAUGGGCGCAAGCCUGAUGCAGCCAUGCCGCGUGUAUGAAGAAGGCCUUCGGGUUGUAAAGUACUUUCAGCGGGGAGGAAGGGAGCAAAGUUAAUACCUUUGCUCAUUGACGUUACCCGCAGAAGAAGCACCGGCUAACUCCGUGCCAGCAGCCGCGGUAAUACGGAGGGUGCAAGCGUUAAUCGGAAUUACUGGGCGUAAAGCGCACGCAGGCGGUUUGUUAAGUCAGAUGUGAAAUCCCCGGGCUCAACCUGGGAACUGCAUCUGAUACUGGCAAGCUUGAGUCUCGUAGAGGGGGGUAGAAUUCCAGGUGUAGCGGUGAAAUGCGUAGAGAUCUGGAGGAAUACCGGUGGCGAAGGCGGCCCCCUGGACGAAGACUGACGCUCAGGUGCGAAAGCGUGGGGAGCAAACAGG